Molecule: long non-coding RNA, 1999 nt
Filed under: Salmo salar (Atlantic salmon)
Lineage: Eukaryota; Metazoa; Chordata; Actinopteri; Salmoniformes; Salmonidae
Description: lncRNA (ENSSSAG00000099784.1)
Source: RNAcentral
GUGCUCUGGUUGGGAUGUAGGGUUUAAGCACAGCCUGAAGGUAGGAAGGGGCAGUUCCUCUUGCUGUUCUGUAGGUAAGCACUAUGGUCUUGUAGUGGAUGCAAGCUUCGACUGGAAGCCACUGGAGUGUACUGGGUGACAUGGGAGACCACAUGCACCAACGUCUAGUAAGUCAGAUCUAGAGAGUGUCUAGUGAGGCAGGUCUGGAGAGGCAGGUCUAGUGAGGCAAGUCUGGAGAGUGUCUAGUGAGGCAGGUUUGGAGAGGCAGGUCUAGUGAGGCAGGUCUAGAGAGUGUCUGGUGAGGCAGGUCUAGAGAGUGUCUAGUGAGGAAGGUCUAGAGAGUGUCUAGUGAGGCAGAUCUAGUGAGGCAGGUCUAGAGAGUGUAUAGUGAGGCAGGUCUAGAGAGUGUCUAGUGAGGCAGGUCUAGAGAGUGUCUGGUGAGGCAGGUCUAGUGAGGCAGGUCUAGAGAGUGUCUAGUGAGGCAGGUCUAGAGAGUGUCUAGUGAGGCAGGUCUAGAGAGUGUCUAGUGAGGCAGGUCUAGAGAGUGUCUAGUGAGGCAGGUCUACAGAGUGUCUGGUGAGGCAGGUCUAGAGAGUGUCUGGUGAGGCAGGUCUAGAGAGUGUCCAGUGAGGCAGGUCUAGAGAGUGUCUAGUGAGGCAGGUCUGGAGAGUGUCUGGUGAGGCAGGUCUAGAGAGUGUCUGGUGAAGCAGGUCUAGAGAGUGUCUGGUGAGGCAGGUCUAGAGAGUGUCUAGUGAGGCAGGUCUAGAGAGUGUCUAGUGAGGCAGGUCUAGAGAGUGUCUGGUGAGGCAGGUCUGGAGAGUGUCUAAUGAGGCAGGUCUAGAGAGUGUCUGGUGAGGCAGGUCUAGAGAGUGUCUAGUGAGGCAGGUGUAGAGAGUGUCUAGUGAGGCAGGUCUAGAGAGUGUCUGGUGAGGCAGGUCUAGAGAGUGUUCGGUGAGGUAGGUCUGGAGAGUGUCUAAUGAGGCAGGUCUAGAGAGUGUCGGGUGAGGCAGGUCUAGAGAGUGUCUGGUGAAGCAGUUGUAGAGAGUGUCUGGUGAGGCAGGUCUAGAGAGUGUCAAGUGAGGCAGGUCUAGAGAGUAUCUAGUGAGGAAGGUCUAGAGAGUCCUGGUGAGGCAGGUCUAGAGAGUGUCUGGUGAGGCAGGUCUAGUUAGGCAGGUCUAGAGAGUGUCUAGUGAGGCAGGUCUAGAGAGUGUCUAGUGAGGCAGGUCUAGAGAGUGUCUGGUGAGGCAGGUCUAGAGAGUGUCUACUGAGGCAGGUCUAGAGAGUGUCUAGUGAGGCAGGUCUAGAGAGUGUCUAGUGAGGCAGGUCUAGAGAGUGUCUGGUGAGGCAGGUCUAGAGAGUGUCUAGUGAGGCAGGUCUAGAGAGUGUCUAGUGAGGCAGGUCUAGAGAGUGUCUGGUGAGGCAGGUCUAGAGAGUGUCUGGUGAGGCAGGUCUAGAGAGUGUUUGGUGAGGCAGGUCUAGAGAGUGUUUGGUGAGGCAGGUCUGGAGAGUGUCUAAUGAGGCAGGUCUGGAGAGUGUCUGGUGAGGCAGGUCUAGAGAGUGUCUGGUGAAGCAGGUCUAGAGAGUGUCUAGUGAGGCAGGUCUAGAGAGUGUCUGGUGAGGCAGGUCUAGAGAGUGUCUGUUGAGGAAGGUCUAGAGAGUGUCUGGUGAGGCAGGUCUAGAGAGUGUCUGGUGAGGCAGAUCUGGAGAGUGUCUGGUGAGGCAGGUCUAGAGAGUGUUUGGUGAGGCAGGUCUGGAGAGUGUCUAAUGAGGAAGGUCUAGAGAGUGUCUGGUGAGGCAGGUCUAGAGAAUGUUUGGUGAAGCAGGUCUAGAGAGUGUCUAGUGAGGCAGGUCUAGAGAGUGUCUGGUGAGGCAGGUCUGGAGAGUGUCUAAUGAGGCAGGUCUAGAGAGUGUCUGGUGAGGCAGGUCUAGAGAGUGUCUAGUGAGGCAGGUGUAGAGAGUGUCUAGUGAGGCAGGUCUAGAGAGUGUCUAGUGAGGCAGG